Molecule: long non-coding RNA, 239 nt
Filed under: Carica papaya (papaya)
Lineage: Eukaryota; Viridiplantae; Streptophyta; Magnoliopsida; Brassicales; Caricaceae
Description: long non-coding RNA (CPAP_LNC000619)
Source: RNAcentral
UGUGUGGUUCUGCCAUAUGACUUUUACAAAAGAAAUUUUUCGAUUGUGGAGUAAUCUGUUCUUUCAAUCCAUAAUGCUGACCGAUACUUCCUCGUAGAAUAGAUCCUCCUAUAGUGGAAGAGGCUCACGGGCCAAGAUAUGAGAGGAGUCCGGGUUAUACUUGCGUAACAUGGACACAUAAAACACAUUGUGGACCUUGAAAAGUUCUGGAGGUAGUGCUAGUCUGUAGGCGGCGGUAC